RNAcentral lists this ribosomal RNA (510 nucleotides) under uncultured bacterium. RNAcentral describes it as "partial 16S ribosomal RNA". It matches the Rfam family "Bacterial small subunit ribosomal RNA", at positions 28 to 507 of the family's 1533-position model. The record is from RNAcentral.
GACGAACGCUGGCGGCGUGCUUAACACAUGCAAGUCGAACGAAGAGCGAUGGAAGCUUGCUUCUAUCAAUCUUAGUGGCGAACGGGUGAGUAACGCGUAAUCAACCUGCCCUUCAGAGGGGGACAACAGUUGGAAACGACUGCUAAUACCGCAUACGAUCUAAUCUCGGCAUCGAGGAUAGAUGAAAGGUGGCCUCUACAUGUAAGCUAUCACUGAAGGAGGGGAUUGCGUCUGAUUAGCUAGUUGGAGGGGUAACGGCCCACCAAGGCGAUGAUCAGUAGCCGGUCUGAGAGGAUGAACGGCCACAUUGGGACGGAGACACGGCCCAGACUCCUACGGGAGGCAGCAGUGGGGAAUCUUCCGCAAUAGACGAAAGUCUGACGGAGCAACGCCGCGUGAGUGAUGACGGCCUUCGGGUUGUAAAGCUCUGUUAAUCGGGACGAAAGGCCUUCUUGCGAAUAGUGAGAAGGAUUGACGGUACCGGAAUAGAAAGCCACGGCUAACUACGUG